AAAACAGAAGAAGAACAUUUGUCAAAGAUCAGACGCUUCAUUUCUGUCACCUUCAAAGUCAGAAGUGCGAAAAAGUUGUCGAGUGGGUUAUUGCAAAAAAAAAUAGAAGUAAUAAUUAUUGUAUAUAUUGCAAAAAGAUCGUAUGCGGAAAAUGCGCAAACAACAUUCAGUAUAUUUGCGAAAAAUGUGCUCAAUAGAUAUGAUUACCCUGUACCAUUAAUAUCAUUGUUAUUUUUUUAGUGAUAAUUUAAAAAAAGACUUUUUAUUUAUUAAUAAUUUAUUUAAAUGUGAAGCUUAAUAUUGCUCCUUUCAGACUUAAUUUGAAUAAAUCGAUUUUUUAGAGAAAAAUGUGUAUUUUCGUUUACCCGUCAAUUUGACGGGUCCCGUAGAGGUAGAUAUACUACAUACAGAUUUCAAAAAUUAGAAAGCCUAG
This is a long non-coding RNA of Bombus impatiens (common eastern bumble bee), 433 nucleotides long. RefSeq lists it as uncharacterized. The record is from RefSeq and is a predicted model, not a curated record. NCBI's taxonomy places the organism in Eukaryota, Metazoa, Arthropoda, Insecta, Hymenoptera, Apidae. The transcript has 2 exons.